Molecule: long non-coding RNA, 37944 nt
Filed under: Nicotiana tabacum (common tobacco)
Lineage: Eukaryota; Viridiplantae; Streptophyta; Magnoliopsida; Solanales; Solanaceae
Description: long non-coding RNA (NTAB_LNC003228)
Source: RNAcentral
CCCUCAUCUCAAAAAAAAAACCUAAUCCCUUUCAUUUGAGGAAUGGAGAAAAACGGCAGAACAUUGAGACGGAUUCCCCAACCCCCACUGAAAAACCCUAGCGGCUCACAGACCCCUCUCCCUCUAAGACAACCAGCCGCCACCCGUUUCUUUCUACUUCUUCUUUCUACUCUUUCUCAUCGUACUUCAUCCAUUCAUAUACAUACGUUUACUUUGCUUGUCGAAAAAUGAUAUUCGAUCUAUGAAGUUCUAAAAUCAGAACAAAAGUCCAACGAAUUGAUCGUUAAUGGACGUGCCAACAUGUCCUUGAGCAGCUUGCUCGAUUUCUUUCUUCCUGAGGUUUCUCAAAGUCGUUUUGAGCUGUGGAAUCACUGUACUGUCGUUGCUGCUAAAUGAGCUAUUUACUUGCUGAGUUUGGUUGGGCUGUGUUGCUGAGUUUCAACUUUAUCCUAUUUUGUAUUUAUUUGGCUUUCUAAAAUGGUUCUUGCGCAACCAGGUAUUCAUUUGAACUCAUUUUUAUUUUGAAAAACAUGAAUUAAUCCUUCUGUUUCUCUAUGAAGUUUCAAAUCAUUGUUGUUUUUACAUAUUUGAAUCUUUUUCUGAGUAGUCUAUCGAUUAAUAAUAUAAAUUUAUUUAACUUCAGGGUGAUUUGCUUCUGUUUUAUUUGGGGACUUAAGUGUUGAAAAAAGCAGGAUUCUGUUGCUCUGGUUUCUGCUCCAUCAAAUUUCGUUGAUUGGUUAUGUUUUAAUAUAGUCAUGAAUCUGAUUAAUGUUAGAUAGGUAUGGAGUGUAAAUAGGCACAAAAAAAUUAAUAUCGAUAUAGAUAGCCUUCCCAUUUAACACUUGACUUUGUAUUGAAAGACUAAUGAAUUGCCUGAUGAUUCAUUUGGAAAUUAAAGUUGUAAUAACGGAAAGCCGUAGAUAUAUCAGAUUUGCGAAGCAGUUUGGUUGUAAUCAAUAGAGUGGUUGUAUGCGUAACAAGGUUCGAUAGAGUUGAUUGAUUGAUAGAAUGGCUAUUUGUGUAAUGGGCCUAGCUGUUUUAGAACAAGUCAAUGUUGUGAACCCAUAUAAUGGAGAUACUUUAUUUGCAAUUUCCUAAUCACAAUCCCAUGCUUCUAUUUACAUUAGAUAGUCAUGUGAUACUGGAUGAUUUGUAUCUUGUGAAUAUAAUUAGGAUUGGCCCUUUGUAAUUUCGUUUGAGUUAUAGCUUUCACGCUCUGAAUUUUAAGGGAGGCUAGUGAAUAAUCGACCUUCAAGGCACAGAUGAUGAAAACUUUCCUUGAAUCAAUCUUAGUAAAUACAUGCAGCUGGCUCCUAUGCCUUUUUAGCAUAAUGCUUAACAAUUGUCGAACAUUUCUGAUAGAAACAAAGCAUCCACCAAACUAUAUAGAGAACCAGGUUCUCUAUCUAUUCACACAGUAAAUCGGCAGUAAAUAGAGAACACAGAGGAAUUUUACAUGGAAAACUCCCAGAUCACGGGAUUAAAAACCACUGCCUACCGGUGUAGGAUUUCAACUUCACUACUGAGUAAUCUUCAGAUUACAACCUAUUGUAACCUAGGAAUUAACCGCUUAAUCCCUCACUAACUUAUAACUACACUAUUAGAAGCCACUUUGUAAUAACUCUAUUACAAAGACUUAAUCACUCACUAACUUGUAACAACACUAUUACAAGCCACUUUGUAAUAACUUUAUUACAAAGACUUCACAACUCGACUAACUCUAGCCAAGACACAAACACAAGGGUUUAUGAUUUACAAAGGGUUUCCUACAUAAUGCUUCUAAGUAAGCUAAGUAGGAAUUACAAGUCUGAGCUUCAACAAAGAUACAACACAACUAAGGACAUAUAAUAACUCAAUAUGGGGGUAUUGGUCUAUUGCUAUGUUGUUCUUUCUUCUUGAUGCCCUUGAGAAUCACUUGUAAGAUGGACACACAUUUGAGAGAAUGCUUGAUGAGUUCUUGAAUGUGCAAGUGAUUUGUUUUACCUUUGCUUGAUGUUAAUAUCUCAUUUGUGACAUCACUUGGAUGAUGUAAGCAAGGUAGGUAAAAAGCUUUCCACAGAAAGUUGACUGUUGCACUGUUCAUGUACUGUAGUAUGUGCAGGCAACAACUUUCCAACUGGAGAGUUGACUUCAUACAGUCACCUCAGGAACUGGUAGGGACCUGGUCCCUAAGCUGUUCCUUCCACUCUGAGGAGUUAAGCCAUAUCCAAACUGGAUCCCAACCGGGAACUUUGUGAUCUUAAGGUCUUGAGAAUGUUUAAAGCUGUAGAGUUGACUAUACGACGACCAGAUCUGUUGUUUCCUUAUCUGAUUUCGUUGAGAAUUGAACCAGACAUCUAACUAGUUACUCUGAAUGCAAGAGAACUAAUCGUAUCAGGUUCCUUAUCUUGUUCUCUCAUGAAGUUUGUCAAAUUAUCAAAACAAAAGACGCAUAACUUAUCCAUUUCCCCCUUCUUGAUGAUGAAAAACUUAGAAUUGUAAUUAGAAUUUAUAUCCCCCCGUGAGAACCAAAUCUCCACAUUGUCCCCGUAUGAAUUAGCCAUAUUCCCCAUGAGAACCAGCCCAAAGGAACUGAUCACAACUGGUUCUUCAAGAUUAUUUGGCAAAUCUUCAAAACACAAAAUAACAUAACUUAUCAAUUUCCACCUUUUUGAUUAUGACAAACCCAAAAUUAAUGUUCCCCUUGAGAACCAGAUUCCUCACAUGUUUCCCUGCAGAUCAGACCUUGAAUUAACAUGUUAUCAACAACGUUCCCCCUGCGAAGCAGAGCUAUCUUUCAUGCACAACACAACAUAUCAAAUUCGAUUCUAUUCCUCCCUCAUGCUGACACCUAUAUAACUUCCCCCUUUUGGCAUCAUUGAAAAGAAUAACAGAAGAAGCACAACCAAAAAGAAGUUCAGUAACAUUAACUCAGGCUACUUGGGCAACACAACAUAAACAAUAACAAGAACCACAAGUGAAUGUCAUUGCACAAAAUAGAGUAAUUGCCCAUAGUAGAGUAAUUAUAACAAAAACACAGUAGUUUCAACAAUACAGAAUAUGACAAUUUAAACAACUAAAGUACCAAUGUCAUCAAACAUAGGGAACAAAAGAAGAUAGGAAUUCGAGAGAAUUUGGAAGGAGUGAAAGGCAUGGAUCACUAGGCAGGAAGAAAAGUAAGGGGAUAAGGCUUUGAUGAGCUUGUCAAUUCGUUCAUUCACAAUCAUUUGAUCAAUGAUCAUCUGCUCUCUCAGUUCCUCCAUCUGUUUCCUCAAUCUUUCAUUCUCACCCUUCAACUUAGCAUUCUAUUCUGCCAAGGGUCCACGGGGACCUGGUUCUCUACCUUUCUGAGCAGGCUGAACCAUCAAUCAUAUCACCUAGAAUCUCCCCAAGCUUCUCCUUAUCAAGAACAAACUCAGUCUCAUACACACAUAGCAUCAAAGUAACACAUACAACAUAAAAGUUUUUACUUCUUCUUCAUAAACGUUGGGACUUGGAGGAACAAAGAGGUGAUUCUAUUUUUGGAUCUCAACAAUGUCAAGAAGUUCCUCCAGUUUUCAGUAAUAUCAUAUUCAACACUCUGCCUAACAACACUUUUUGAGAAAUCAGAGUCUUCUACCUCUCCAAACCUGAUAACUUAACCUUUUCCUUCUAUAAGGAAACAGGUUCCUCACUCACACUACCCUUUCUUUCCCUAAGCGGCCAUGUCCCUCUUCUUCUUCUCAAUCUGUUCACCCUUAUCAUCUAUUACAUCUUUCUUAGCCAACUUUAUUUUCUUAAUUUUUUUGAAUUCUUUCUCACAAAUGGAGAUUUUCCACUUCAUUCUCUUUUCCACAAUCAGCACAUCAGCAGGUCACACCACUUCAUCAUCAAUUAGCCUACUUUUCUCAAUCCUUUUUACUGGAUCAGAGAUUCGUUUAAGCAUAGAACCCAAGAGAAAAAAACCAUCAUCAGAAUUAGCAUCCUAAGAAGGAUUUGAGGGACCAGGUCCUUCAUUCAGUUCCCCCUUUUUCCGGCACAUUCACCAACUCCUCCAUCCUUCAAGGCUUCUACAAACCCAACAUCAAUUUCAGCCUCACUUUCCAAAAUAUUAGAUCUACCCCAUUCCUUUUCAGUUAAAGUCCCAUCAAAAUCUACCAAAGACUUCUUGGGUUUCGAUUCAGAUGUAGUUAGGAUUUUGGAAGGUGAAAGAGUUGGAUUCACUUCUGGCAUAUUUGGAGAGACGGAUUAUUUUUGAGUUAAGGUUGAUUUUUGAGGAAAAGAAUCGGUUAUGGUUGGGUGUGAGAGAAGGAAAUGGUUUUUCGGGGCAACAGGUCAGUUCAGAAAAGGUUUAACAUUUUGAACUUCAAAAUUUGGAGAGAGAUGGGAAUAAAUUAAUGACAUUAUAUUUCAGUAGUUUAAAAAGGUAUAUAAGUAUUUAAGAGACUACUAACCUGAGUCAUAAGAACAAGGUUCCUUGACGGUUUUUAAAAAUUUAAGCAAAGACUCCUAGAAGGGCAAUGUCACUCUUACUUGUUUUGUCCUGAAACUGCCAUGUAUGUAUACCAGUAAUAGUAUAGAUUUGAGUUAGAUGUCACCAAAAGACACUUUUUAGCGUUGUACCUUUCCUUCUUAACAUAGCCAAUCAUCGAGGGACCAGGUCCUUAGUUAAGCUGGAUAAACUUUCAAAGUGUUCACUGCUCAGCGCCUUAGUGAAGAUGAUUACUACCUAGUCCUCCGUCUUCCCGUACUUUAUAAUAAUUAGAACCUUUUCAAUAUUAUACCUCAAAAAGUGAUGUCGUACAUCAAUGCGCUUUGUCCUCUUGUAUUGUACCGGGUUCAAGCUGUAAAUACACCAAAGUCUUUAAGAUGUUGCUUGAUCUGUAGUAGUUGAACACAACAAGAAGCAACAACCAUGUAUUCAACUUCAUUAGUAGAAAGAGCCACAUAAUUUGUUUUUUUGUACCCCAUGAGAUCAAGCAUGACACUAGAAAAUGUGUCGUUCUAGAUGUGCUUUUUCUAUCUACUAGAUAUUCAACAUAAUCAACAUCAGCAUAUCCAACCAAGUCAAAAGAAUCUUCUGAAAAAUAGAUGAGGACCAGGUCCUGCUUUCCCUUAGGAUACCUCAAAACUCCCUUGGCACCCUUCAAGUGAGAGUGUUUUGGGCCAGGUUCCAAUCGCUGUUCUGUAUGAAGGCCUAGAGACCAGGUGCCACACUUGGUUCCUCUCAACUGAUGGAGUUCUUCUUGCAUAGAAGCUAUCCAGUUAGCAUUUUUCAAUGCUUCUUUGAUGUUCUUAGGCUCGAUUUGAGACAAGAACGUUGAGAGGGAAAACAUGUUCCUUGCCUUAGAACUAGGUUGAAUACCAGAGUCUAAGGAUGUGAUUACAUUUUGAAGGGAUGUGAACUCUUUUGCUUCUAGUUGGAUACUUGAACUUCAGAAUUUGAAGGACCAGAUUCCUCCAUAUGUGAAUCAUCAUUGACAUCAACAGAAUUAUGACUUCCACUCUUUUGUUCUACAUCAGGAGUACCUAAUGCAGCAUCAACAACCCUAUGUUCAGCUUAAUUCGAGGUGAUAGAGGGACCGAGUUCCUCUACACCUUUGGAGAUUCUACUGCAUCUCCUUCAUCGCUCUGCUUGACUCAUCAAAUCAGUCUUUCCAUUUGCACUAUCUGUAGCUUCACCAGGAGAAUUUGUGAAUUCUCCAUCUUCAUCUUCUUUGUUAUGUGUUUCCACCAUUGUUGAGAACACAACAUUUUGCAUCCAAAGGCUCUCGGGUAAGUUAGAUUGGGUUUUCUCCCAUUGAGCAGUUCAUAGAGAGACUUCUCGAGAAAGGACCUGAUCAUGCACUUGUUAAUCAAGUAGCAAGCAGUGUUGGUUGCUUCAGCCCAUGAACCAAGUCCUCCAUAAUCAACUUGUUCAACAUAUAAAAGCUCACAUGCCCCAGUCAUCUUCGACAUAACUCAGCAUCAUCAUCAAUGACACUUAGGCAUGUUAGAUCACCAUCAUUCAGUGAAUCAAGGUCUGCAACAUAGAUAUUCUUGAAUCUCUUAGCUAUCAAUACCAUUUCACCAGUUUUAAGAUUUUGUGAAAGUGCAAGAUUUGGACAAGAACUUCACUUUAUUUUUCCUUAUCACAGAUUUAAGACACAUUCAACAAGCUAUAUUUCAAGCCAUUCACAUAGUACACAUUUUUGAUUGCAUGAGAGAGUGUUUUGUCAAUUUUGCCACCACCAAGAAUAUAGCCUUCUUGUCAUUUCUAAAGGACACACUCCCACCUUGGAAGGCCUAGAGUGAGAGGAAAUUAUUCAUUCUUCUAAUCUAAUGCUUAGAGCAGCCACUAUCCAUGUGCCAUUUUUUUGACUGCUACCUCUCACUUCAGCCUGCACACUAAAUCAAUGAUUAGAAUUAGGAACCCAAGCCAGCUUGGGUCCCUUAUAAUGAUAGAACGGGCUGAUCAAACUUCUUUUUGCCCGCGCAGGCAGCACAUAUUUUCUUUUCAGGGAACCAGGUUCCUCAUCAAUAGGCCUCUUUCCAACAAAAACUUUGUUUUUUUUGUAAACGCUGAAUUUUAGUUUUACAAGAGUCCUUGUAAUGACCCAUUUGACCACAGUGAGUGCACAACCUAUUAUCAGCCUCAGUUACAUACUUGCUAUGGGGAUUACAGGAGGUUUUAGCCUUUUGGAACCCGAUUCCUUUCCUGUUUCCACCAUUACUCUUGUACAUAGACAUUAUUACAUCAGAGGACCAGGUGCAAUUAAGUGACUUAUCAAGAUCAUUUUUAACCCUUUUCAAAUCCUCUUGAAGUUGUCUAUUUUUUUCAAGCUCAACAAUAAGACUUGUUUUAACUUUCUUAAGCUCACUCUUAAGCUCAAGUCAAGCCUCACUAGCCACUUCUUUACCCUUAGUGCUGUCCAUCCAUUUUUUCGUUUGGUUUUUAAACAAGUUAGUUUCUCUAGUUACUUCUUCCACUUGUUCCUUCAAAUCUACAAUGGAAACUACCAUAUUAUCCCUCUCUUGUUCCAUGUCACCAAUUUCUUCUACUAAAGCAUUUUUCUCAUUAAUGAGGCUAUGAUAGGCAUCAAUCAACACAUUUGCUAAGGACAUCAAUUUUUUGUUUGAGUAAGUUUUCAAAUUUUUUUGAACAUCAAGAAAACUUAUCUCAUCUUCCUCCUUAUCCUCAUCAUCAUCAGAUUUGGCCAUAAGUGCAAAGAUUGACUCAUAUUCUGAAGAUCCAUUAUUAGCAACCAUCAUAUAUGUAUCCCCUUGGUCAUCUUCACCUUCAGAUUCACUAGAAGAAUUUCCCCAGUCAGCCAAAGCUUGUUCACCAUGUUGUCACCAACAUCUCUUCUUUUGAACUUCCUAUCAGAGACCUCCUUUCUCUUAGCCACCUUAUCAAUGUUGGUUUUAUAAUGAUCCUACUUAUGAAGAGGACAAUCUUUAAUAAAGUGUCUAGACUUUCCACACUUAUGACAAAAAUCAUUUUCUUUGAAAUUCCUGCUGGAACUUCCUUUCUUUGGAAUCCCACCAUUUUUUUGAAUCAUCUUUUGGAAUCUUCAAGUGAGAUACUCCAUGUCGGAUUCAUCACUACUUGAGUCUUUGUUGGCAUCCUUGAGAACCAGGUUCUUCUCCUUCUUGGGCUCUCUUAUUUCAAGAUCCUUCUUUCUCUUCAUCUCAUAAGUUUUGAGAUUUCCAGUGAGUUCAUCAAUAGUCAGCUUCUGCAAAUCCUUGGCUUCUGUGAUAGCAUUCACUUUACUUUCCCAAGAACCUGGUAAAACACUGAGUAUUUUCCGAACCAACUUGUUCUUGGGAUGAUUUCACCAAAGGAGUGAAGCUCAUUGAUAAUGGAGGUGAAAUGUGUGUGCAUAUCUUGAAUAGACUCAUCCUCCUUCAUCUUGAAAAGCUCAUACUCAGUAGUAAGCAUAUCAAUUUUGGAUUGAUUAACCUGAGUAGUUCCCUCAUGGGUAGUUUGAAGAGCUUCCCAAAUCUCCUUAGCAUACUAACAAGCUGAGAUGCAGUUGUACUCAUCUGGUUCGAUGCCGUAAACAAGAAUCUUCUUUGCCCUGAAAUUCUUCUCAAUAUCCUUUCUAUAAGCAUCGUUGUACUAUUUUCUUGUUUUUGGGAUUGUAACUGUUCCCUCACCAACAGUUUUCAUGGGAACAAAAUGUCCAUCACAGAUUACAUCUCACAACUCUGAGUCCUCAGCCAUAAUAAAGUCACACAUUCUUGUUUUCCACCAACUAUAGUAUUGGUCGUUGAAUCUUGGUGGUCUGUACGUUGAUUGUCCUUCCUCAAAGUUUGGUGGAACAGCCAUGUAGAUCCUUCCUAGGUGUUAACUUUUUAGAAGAACCUGCUCUGAUACAAUUGAUAGAAACUAAUAGCCUGUUUGGUCAAGCUACAAAAAUCAGCUUAUUUUGAGAAGUGCUUUUUUUCAAAAGUACUUUUGGUGAGAAGCAAUUUGUGUUUGGCUAAUUAGUUUGAAAAGCACUUCUGAGCAGCAAUUGGUGUUUGGACAAGCUUUAAAAUACUAUUUCUAAGUGUAUUUUUCUCAAGAGUGCUUCUCAAANAAGUGCUUUUGGAAAGAAGCUACUUUUUUCUGCUUAUCCAAAACUGCUUCUGAUUCUCCUCAAAAGCACUUUUUUCAUUCCAGAAGCUUGGCCAAACACCUCAAUUUUUGGCCAAAAAGCGCUUUUGGCCAAAAAUAAGCUUGGCCAAACAGGCUAUAAGCAUCCACCAAACUGUAUAGAGAACAAGGUUCUAUAUAUGUUCCCAUAGUAAAUCGGCAGCAAAUAGAGAACAAAAAGGAAUUUUACGUGGAAAAUUCUCAGCUCACGGGAUUAAAAACCACGACCUACCCUUGUAAGAUUUCAACUUCACUACUGAGCAAUCUUCGGAUUACAACCUAUUGUAACCUAGGAAUUAACCUCUUAAUCCCUUACUAACUUGUAACUAUACUAUUACAAGCCACUUUGUAAUAACUCUAUUACAAAGACUUAAUAACUCACUGACUUGUAACAACACUAUUAUAAACAACUUUGUAAUAACUCUAUUACAAAGGCUUCACAACUCAACUAACUCUAGCCAAGACACAAACACAAGGGUUUAUGAUUUACAAAGGAUUUCUCACACAAUGCUUCUAAGUAAGCUAAGUAGGAAUUACAAGUAAGAACUUCAACAAAGAUACAACACAACUAAAAACAUAUAAUAACUCAAUAUGGGGGACUAGUCCGUUGCUAUGUUGUUCUUUGUUCUUGAUGCCCUUGAGAAUCACUUGCAAGAUGGACACACACUUGAGAGAAUGCUUGAUGAGUUCUUGAAUGUUCAAAUAAUUUGUUUUACCUUUGCUUGAUGUUAAUAUCUCAUUUGUGACAUUACUUGGAUGAUGCACUGUUCCUGUACUAUAGCGUGUGCAGGCAGCAACGUUUCAGCUGGAGAGUUGACUUCGUAAAGUCACCUCGGGAACUGGUCGGACCUGGUCCCUCAGUUGUUCCUUCUACUCUGAGGAGUUGAGCCAUAUCCCAAACAAGAUCCCAACUUGGAACCUUGUGAUCUUAAGGUCUUGAGAAUGUUUAAAGCUGUAGAGUUGACUAUACGACAGCCAGGAGAACUGAUCCAUAUAUGUUCCCUCUGUUGUUCUCUUAUCUGAUUUCAUUGAGAAUUGAAUCAGACAUUUGACUAGUUACUCUGAACGCAAGAGAACUAAUUGUAUAAGGUUCCUUAUCUUGUUCUCUCUUGAAGUUUGUCAAAUCAUCAAAACAAAAUGCACAUAACUAGUCAAUUUCCUCCUUUUUGAUGAUGACAAACUUAGAAUUGAUAUUCCCCUUGAGAACCAGAUCUCCACAUUGUUCCCCCUAUGAAUCAGCCAUAUUCCCUAUGAGAACCAGACCAAAGGAACCGAUCACAACUGGUUCUUCAAGAUUGUUUGGCAAAUCAUCAAAACACAAAAUAACAUAGUUUAUCAAUUUCCAAACAAUUUAGAUUCAGUUAAUACUUCCAUUUAAUAAUCGCUAGUUGCUUUAGGUCCUUUUAUAAUAAAUCAUUAUGACUAUGGGUACGAUUCCUGUGGCAUAGUCAUGAUACCUAAUCCCCAAUUCGAGUGUGCGUUUCAACUGACUCGACCAUAACUUCAAAUAAUUAUAAAAAUAAGCAUGUUGUAAAUCGCAGGUGCGUUUCACGUGACGCGAUUCACAAUAUGUCCAAAACCAACGAAUGCGCGCCAUCGCGACUUGUUCAAAUAAAUUUCAUAAAUACUAAAAGAGGUUAAGUAAAUAAUUAAAAGCGGUUAGAAAGUUAAAAAUGCAUAAAAGGUUUUAAACAUGUAAUAAUUCAGAUAAUUAAGCCAAUUAUUAAUAGUUGAGCGACCGUGCUAAAACCACGAAACUCGGGAAUGCCUCACACCUUCUCCCGAGUUAACAAAAUUCCUUACCUGGUCUUUUGGUUUUCACAGACUUUAAAACAGAGUCAAAUUUCUUCUAAUUGGUUAAAAUAAAUCGGUGACUUGGGACACCAUAUAUUAUUCCAAGUGGCGACUCUGAAUCAAUAAAUAAUCUAUUUCGACUAAUGUCACUUUAAUUGGAAAAAUGUCAUAUUCCCUUCGGAAAAAAGGAGGUGUGACGGCUCUGGCGACUCUGCUGGGAACAAGAGCCCAGAAUCUCUGGUUCAGGGUUCAGAAUUCGAGCUUAGAAUAACUAUUAUACUUGGCAUUUGUUUAUUAUUUGACUUUUUACGUGCUUGAGCCUAACGUGCUAAAUGACGCUUUUUACCGCUUUGAUAUUGCUUGAACUGUAUAUAAAACUGUUACGAAACCCUUCUUGUCUCUGAGUCUUCUGAAUCUUCUGGAAAGUGCAUGCUAGCAAAGCCGGUGAAGCUUCUAUUUUCCAGGUACUCUGCCCCCCUCGGCUCGAGUUGUCCGCUCGGGUAAGCCAGGUCUAGAACAAUACACCCCAAGAUUUAAACUUAGAAUAACAUAGCCUCAUGUCGGAUCCCUAGUAGGAACGUUUGUUUGUAUCACGUGCAUUUGACUUUGGGGACUCAACACAGGGGUUGGGUCCGUCUAGGACGUGUACCCAAAUUAAAAAGACCAUCCUGAUGCAUCUUACGUGCUACUUGUGCAUUUAUUUGUUUUGGCUUGCAUGUUGACUGGCUUCUAGGGAAAGAAAAUUUUAAAAAAUAAAAAAUAAAGAGUGAGAGGUAAGUAUUUAAAAUCUGAAACUCUGCCGAAAUUUUGAAAAAGAAAGAGAAAAGAAAAUAAGCCAAUGUUCUCAAAAAGUCAUGUUUCCCUAUUUCAUUAAAACUGGGCCAAACUACGCGGGUCUGAUUCUUACUGGGUGUGAGAUACAUAGGCAAACCUCAUCGGUUCCAGCCCAUAAUUUUAAAAAAUCCAAAAAAAAUUUCCUUUACUUUCUUCUUUAGAAAGUCUUUCUUUUAGACUCUAAUUUUUAAAAAUACAAGAAUAUUUUCUUUUAAUUUCUUCUCAAAAUACAAAAAUAUUUUCGCUCUUCUUUCGAAAAUUGAAAAGAAAAUUCAAGAUUCAAAAAUAUUUUCUUUUUUCUUUAGAAGUAUUUCUUUCAUAAAUUCAAAAUAAAAGUCCAAUAUUCAAAAAUAUUUCCUUUCUUCUUUAGAAGUUUUUCUUUCGAAAUUCCAAAGAAAAACAAACAAAUCAAAAUCCAAAAAUAUUUUUUUCUUCUUUAUAAGUUCUUUUUUUUCGAAAAUUAAAAAUUAUAAAAAAAAUUCAAAAUUCAAAAGCCAAAAAAAAGAGUUAGUUUGUUUAUUUUAUUCCUCAUUUUCCCGUACUAUGCAAGAUCUGCUUCAUGUUUCCACAUGAUACGUAGGCAACCCACAUUAGGUUCGACCAACCAUUAUAAAAAAUGAUGAUGAUAAUAAUGAGGACCGACUGAGUCCAUUCUAACGUGUCUUUUGUUUUGAAUUGUGAACAAAGUUUGAGGUGGUCGGUUUGUCUUAAGCUACAACAUAUCCAUAAUUCACAAGGUCCAAGGGAAAAAUGCCAAUGGCAACUGACAUUGAAGUUGUUACGAGUGGUCAAGAGACUCGGGGGUCAGAGGGUACAACAAGAGUCUAUUGUGAUUGAGGAAAAUAAAAUAUUGAAAUAGUAAAUGACUCAAUUGUGUCAAACAUGGGCCAAUGGUCAAGGACCACACAUUUCUCAUGUUUUCCCAAAGUUCACACCCAUCUCGACUACUACUACUCCGGUCUCAUUGUCUGAUCAAUCCUAUCCAUAUGGGUUCAGUCUUUAUCCCAACUGUACGACUACAGCUGGAACUUCUGUUGCAUACUCCCACAGUGUGCCAUUGACAACCAAUCACACAACCACUGUUGUUAUGCCCCGUCUUUACUAUCCCACAGCCAACAGUGGUACAGAAGAAAAGUCAUGAGUCACAUUUUUCUACCCAACAAGAAUAGUACCACUCGUACCUAUUUGAUCUUCUUGCAAAUAUUGAGAAGCCUACCCGAAAGAUGGCACAGGAAGAAAUAACCCAAAAAAUAAAAAGCUUAGAACAACAGCUGAAAAUCAUAUAAGGGAUGGUAGGUCAUAAGAGUAUUGCCUUCAAGGAUCUAUGUAUGUUCCCCAAUGUCCACUUGCCACCUGGUUUCAAGACCCCCAAAUUCAAAAAGUAUGAUGUACACGACGACCCCAUAGCCCACUUAAAAAGGUAUUUCAAUUAACUAAGAGGUGUGGGAGGAAAUGAAGAAUUACUAAUGGUUUAUUUUGGGGAAAGCCUUACGGGGAUAACCUCUAAAUGGUUUACUAAUCAAAACACCUCUCACUGGCAUGUCUAGGAUAACAUGGCCUAGGCCUUUGUCAAAUAGUUCCAAUACAACAUCAAAAUUGCCCAGACCACAAUCCCUUUCAAACCUGAAGAAGAAACCAACUGAAAGUUUCAGGGAAUAUGCCAUUAAAUGGAGAGAGCAAGCGGCUAGAGUUAAACCACCCAUGCGAGCUAAUCACUGUAUUCCUUCAGGCUUAAGAGCCAGAUUAUUUUCAAAACAUUAUGUCCGCAGUGGGCAAAUCCUUCUCGAAAGCAAUCAAAAUUGGGAAAAUGGUUGAGAAUGGCCUUAAGACGGGCAGAAUUAUAAGUCAAGCAGUUCUGAAAGCCGCAACUCAGUCUGUCCAGAUUGAAUCGGAUAAUUUAUGUGACACGAAUGAGAAAGAUAUAGAAACUAUGAUGACAUCAGAGUCAAAAAGAGCAUCUCGAAGGUAUGACCAGCUUCGCCUGGUUUUCGAUGAUUCCCCUAAGCACUACUAUCUAUCUCAGAACCCACAAUACUCUGUUGCUCCACCUCAGUAUGUUGUCCAGCCACCAAAACACCCAGAAGGAGAGCACGAGCAUCACAAAAUUUCCACCAACCUCUAUAAAAUAUUUAAGUGCCCUAUAACCCACAUCCAAGCCAGGGGUAUAAAGGGAAACAAAGGUUGAAACAUAAUUUUAUACCAAUAGGAGAGUCCUAUACAAGUUUGUUUGAGAAAUUAAAGCAUUAUGACAUGAUUGCACCUAUUCCUCCAAAUUAUAUAGACCCACGUGCAAGAAGCUUUGACCCUUCUAAAAGGUGUGAAUACCAUUCCAAUGCUCAGGGCCACAAUUUUGAAAGUUGUCGGGAUUUGAAAAGAGAAAUAGAAAGGAUGAUCCAAGAAAAAUUGAUUGAAAUUGGAGAAGGCCCUGGUGAUUUUGAUGAUCAAAUUUGUGGCUAAAUGUCAAGCUAGGCAAUUGAAAAGUCAUUCCCUCCUCACUAGCAAGGAAUCUUGGUAGCUUGUUUUGAUAUUUUUUUCUAUGAUCUGGGUUAUUUUAGGGUUGUGAUCCAGAUUUUAUAUAUUUUAUUGAGUCAAACCCUUCCAUCCAUCUAUUUUAUCUGUGUGAGUCUUGUCUGUUUGUUCUAUUGCUAUUUUCAUUAUCUGGUUUAUUUUAGGGUUGUAACUCGGAUUUUAGGUUGUUUGUCUUGUUGUCCAACCUUUCCAUUCUUUACUCAAUGAAAGACAUUUUGUCCUUUUGUGUCAUUCUAUGCUUAAUCCUUUUCCUGCUAGUUCUAGUGACAUGACAUGCAUGCGGAAUUUUUUGCCAGAUCCUAGAAAACUGAUUUACUCUUGAAUUGGAUAACUGAGAAAAAGAUACUUUUGAGGAUGAAUAAAGAGUUGAAAUACCUUAGAAUUAAUCCUGAGUAAAAUUCAAGUGGAACUAGAAUAGUCAUAUCCAUGGAGGUUAAGAAUCUUUACCUUCAAAAUCAUUGUAAAGAUUAGAUUUGAGGAUGUUGAAUCAUUUGAAGUUCGGUGGAAAGUUUGAGAUUAAUGGAUGGAAAGUGUCUUUCGACUACGACACACCAAAAACACAGACAUGUUCAUCAUUGUUGUGAUCGCGAAUGGACACUAUAAUUGGUGUUCUCGAGGCUGGGAGGCCUUUUUUCUGCUAUCCAAAUACUUUAUACCCUUUGUUACCCCUUUUGAGCUUGUAUUAUUUUCUUUGACCACUUUCUUUUGGAAUUAAGUUUCGAGUUAAAAGUUAAAAAAAUGAAUAGAAAAGUCCAUGCCCCAAGAGUACAAACUGGGGCAGCUCUUAGAAAAAAAAACAAUCAAAGGUCCAUGUCCCCAGAAAAGUUGGGGAAACAUGUUUUGAAAACCAACAAAAAAAGACAGAGAAACAGAAAAAAGAUAGUUAGGUCAGAUGUUUGAACUACACUUGACCUGAUUUCUUAAAAAGGAUUAAUAGGCAGCCUUACAUGGUUCGGUCAAACCAAAUAAGAAUUCAUAAAACAAAAUCCAGUAUCUAAAACUGGGGCAUGAGUUUGUUUUAGUUUUUGAAAGAGUCAAUUCCAAGAGUUGUAAGUGUACAACCCAUCAUAUUGAGUCUAUUUUGAGCCUUCAUGUCGUCCUUUCUUUCCAACCAUAUCCAAAAACCUUCCAAAUAAAGCCCUUCUGAUCAGCCUUCAAGAAUUCCAAGAGACGCAUGCAAUGAACAACAAUUGUCACACGACGUAGAACACUAUCAAGUUGCUCACAAAAAAAGAGAAAGAAAAAGAAAAAAAAAUGAGAGAGUCUUACUAAUGAAAACCCUCAUGGGCACUGUAAGGAGAUGGUAAGUAGAGAAAAUAAAUGAGAGAGACUUGUUGGUAAAAAUUCAUCGGGGCACCACUAGUCGAAAGUGAGUCGUGAAGCUGAUGCAAAAAAUUGACAUAAACAAGCCUGACUUCAAAGGUCAUAAGAAUGGUAAAAGGGAAGAUUAGAUUAGUUUGAUAGAUUGGCCGUUAAGUCCAAAAUGCAUGUCAUGAUCAUUAAGGCUAGUUAUUGGAAGAAAAAGAGAAAAAUUCUUCCCUCUUUCCUUCCCGAUAGGGGCAUUUCUUGUUGAUACUGUUUCUUUGCAUCAUUAUGUCCCUUCACUCUGAGUCAGUCCUUGUCAAAACAAGCAAGAAAAUUUUUCAAAAUUUGCUACCAGCUUUUCAGUUGCACAAAGUAAAUUUGGUUAGCACACUCAGUUGUUAUAGUCUACAUGCCUUGAGGAUUCAUGCAAACGCCCCUACCCAAAAGACUCUUUCCAUCCUACUUGGCUAAAGCAAGCAAAGAUAACCUCGAGGUUAAUCAGGGGUUAUCUGUAGUACUGAACAGAGACUAUGAAGUGUGCACAUCAUGCAAAAGACGCACACCUGGUUGCGACUCUCUCUGACAAACAAAUUGCUCAAAAAGCAAGAAGCCAUUCAAGAUAUCAGAAAACGUCACCUAAGAAAAUAUCUCCAGUUGGUGUAAGGCUGAUUGAGCCACAAAUAAAAAUGGUACUGGGUGUGAAACAAUCAGGAUUGAUGCAGAGUAAAAGUCUCUUGAAACCGUCUCAAGUUGAUUGAGCAAAAGUCAAGUUGCCCACGACUCAAAGCCACAAACCAACCACCACUUUCAAAACUGACAAAAUUUUCUUUUUUUUUUGAAACAAGAACAAAGCAGUGCAAGGAAAGUGGUUCAAAAAAAAGAAGAAAAAAAAGAAAAAAGAAAAAAAAAAGAGAAAAAGAAGAGAAGAGAAGAACCAACAAAAGGGAAGUUUCUCAAAUAUUUGCCUUUAUUUGUCUUGCUAGUAUGCAUAAAAUCCUGCCAUCGCUCUUCACAUUUUUUUACUCCUAGGGUAAUACAUCCUAGUUUGAUGGAUUUCCCUUCCAAUAAAAUAUUAGUCUAAUGAAUCUUUCUCCUAAGAUAAGAAAACCUAGUCUGAUGAAUUUUCUCCUAGGAUAGAAAUCUUAGUAUGAUGAAUCUUUCUCCUAAGAUAAAAAGCCCUAGUCUGAUGAAUUUUCUCCUAGGAUAAACAUCUUAGUCUGAUGAAUCUUUCUCUAAGAUAUAAAAAAACCUAGUCUGACGAAUUUUCUCCUAGGAUAGAAAUCUUAGUCUGAUGAAUCUUUCUCCUAAGAUAAUAAAUUAGAAAACCUAGUCUGAUGAACUUUCUCCUAGGAUAGACGUCUUAGUCUGAUGAAUCUUUCUCCUAAGAUAAAUAGAAAAUCUAGUCUGAUGAAUUUUCUCCCUGGAUAAUUAAAAAAAAGUCUGGAUUUUUAAAAAAAAAUAAAGGAUCAAUUUCAGUUUUUAGUUGUUAAUCUUAAGUUCAGGGGUCCCGCCUGGAGAAUAGGAUCAGUUUUUAAUUUCCUUAAGUUAUUAAUCUUUAGCAUUCCUUUUAGUUCAGGGGUCUCGCCUAGAGAAUAGUGUCAGUUUUUAGUUUCCCUAAGUUGUUAGUCAUUAGUUUUUCUUAAAGUUCAGGGGUCCUGCCUAGAGAAUAGGGUCAAUUGUUAGUUUCCUUAAGUUUUCGAUCUCUAGUUUUUCUUUUGUUCAGGGGUCCUGCCUGAAGAAUAUGGUCAGUUUUUAGUUUCUUCAAAUUGUUAGUCUUCCAACAUAGGGUCUCCACUCCCUAGUCUUUUUUUUCAGGGUACACCAAACCCGACCUUUUAUUGCUUUAUAUAAUGAAGUAAUAUAGAGUUUUGGUACCAAUAACUAACGAAAUUUUUCUAGUAAAAACUGGGGCAGAAAAUUUCGUUCGUUCGUUUAUUUUGGGUGCCUGAGCAGGUUAUACCUCGAGGCACAAGGUUCGAGAUGACCAAAAGAAGUCUCAAUCCAAAAUAGAGAAAAGAAAAGGAAAAGAAGUGAAUUCAAAGUGCAGACACAAAGCAAAGAUGUGGACUGCUCAAGACAUGACUGAAGUCACAAGCUUUGCAUGUCCCAUCUUGAUCCGAAAAGCUGAAGAAGAAUGGACAAGCACAUCCAGCUAGCAAGCAUCAAGGUUCAGAUCAGAGUCUGUGUGAAGAACCAACGAAGAAUCGAGAUCAAGCUUCAAAAGACUCAUAGAUAGGAAUCUUGUAACUCGUAGAUAAUAGGCUUAGUUAGUCUUUUUUAUUUUGACUUUGGUAUAAUAAGGAGCUCAGAAAGUAGUAAACAACAGCAACAACGGUGAAAUCACAUCUUAUCGGUAGUCCCAGCUACCAAAAUUUUCAGAACUACACUGACCUGAUUCCUUUAUAGCCAAGGAUAUGUAGGCAACCUCCGGAGCAAGGUUCAGUCAAACUUUUUCAAAAUGCUUCCCAUGGAGUAUCAAACAGGCAAAAAUUGUUCAUGAUUGCUCACUUUAUCUUUGCCCGAAAAGUCUUCAUGUUUCGGAGCAAAGAGGGGUAGCUGUGACACCUGAGUUUUGCCCCACACAGAAAAUUACUCCUAAAAUGUCAAAAAAUAAUUUUAAUCGCUUUUAUAGAAUUUUAGGAAUAUUUCUUGUAUUUAUUUGCAUUGUUCAUGCAUAUUUAGAGUUAUUUUUAGAAAAUCAUAAAAAAAUGUUUAAUUUUUCAUCUCGUAGCAGUUAAAUCUUAAUUGUAUUUAGAAUUUAAUUACAUCAAUUAAAUGCAUUAUCAAAUGAAAAAAAUUCACAAAAUACCAUAGUCCUUUCUACAUUUUAGCUUUUAGUUUUAAAUUAAUAAUUUUCUUUUAUUAGUUUACAUUGUUAAGGUAAUAACUAACUAAUUGGUAGAUAAAAUAGUAAGAUGGUUAAUUUUGCAGUUUUUAGUUUACACAUUAGGUUAGUCUUAUUGUUGGCUAAAAGUGAAAUUUUUAAAAAGAGAAGCCUUUGCUGUUGGAGAUUUAUUAGCUUGAAUUGGGCCAGUUUGAGCCCAUUUUCUGUUAAAUCCAAAUCAUCCCUCCUAGCCCAGACCAAGCCCAAAUUCGGUCCUCCCCUAUUAAACACAAACGACCCUGUUUCGUCUCCCCUUCCCCUCAUCUCUGAAAAAAACCUAAUCCCUUUCAUUUGAGUAAUGGAGAAAAACGGUAGAACAUAGAGACGGAUCUCCCCCCCCCCAAUUGAAAAUCCCUAGCAGCUCACAGACCCCUUUCCCUCGAAGACAACCGGCCGCCACCCCUUUCCCUCUCCUUCUUAUUUCUACUCUCUCUUAUCGUACCUCGUCCAUUCAUUCACUUAUGCUUACUUUGCUUGUUGAAAUCUGAUAUUCGAUUUGUGAAGUUCUCAAAUCAGAACAAAAAUCCAACGAAUUGAUCGUUAAUGGAUGCGCCAACAAGUCCUUGAGCAGCUUGCCCGAUUUAUUUCUUCCUGAGGUUUCUGAAAGUCGUUUUGAGCUGGAGAAUCAAUGUACUGUUGUUUCUGCUAAAAGAGUUGUUUGCUUGAUGAGUUUGGUUGGGCUGUGUUGUUGAGUUUCAACUUUCUCCUAUUUUGUAUUUAUUUGGCUUUCUAAAACUGGUUCUUGCGCAACCAAGUAUUCAUUUAAACUCAUCUUUAUUUUGGCAAACAUGAAUUAAUUCUUCUAUUUCUCCAUAAAAUUUCGACUCAUUGUUGUUUUUACGUAUUUGAAUCUUUUUCUGAGUAGUCUAUCGAUUAAUAGAUAUAAUUUUAUUUAACUUUGGGGUGAUUUGCUUCUGUUUUAUUUGGGGACUUGAAUGUUGAAUAGAGCAGGAUUCUGUUGCUCUGGCUUCUGCUCCUUCAAAUUUCUUUGAUUACAACAACAACAACAACAAAAAUAACAACAAACCUAGUAUAAUCCCAACAGGUGGGGUCUGGGGAGGGUAGUCUGUACGCGGACCUUACCCCUACCUAAUGUAGGUAGAGAUGCUGUUUCCAAUAGACCCUCGGCCCAGGAAGGGCAAGAAGAAGAAGAGGAAGCAAGGAAGGAAGAAAGAAGGAAGAUAAAAGAAAAAAUGAGAGAUAAAGGAUAAGUAAUACCAAAUAAUAGCAACGGGAAAUACAAUAUCUGAGGCGAACAAAAGCACAAACGUAAUAAAAAUCUAAGAAUAUGAAGGGAUAUGCAUACUACUAAGACUAUCGGUGAACAACUAAAAACUACCCACUAACUUUCUACCUUAAUCCUCGCCUCCACACUCUCUUAUCAAGGGUCAUGUCCUCAGUGAGCUGAAGUAGCGCCAUGUCCUGUCUAAUCACCUCUCCCCAGUACUUUUUAGGCCUACCUCGACCUCUUCUCAAACUCUCCAUGGCCAGCCUCUCACACCUCCUGACAGGAGCAUCAAUUCUUCUUCUCUUAACAUGUCCGAACCAUCUCAGCCUCGACUCUCGCAUCUUGUCCUCUACGGAGGCUACUCCCACUUUGUCCCGAAUAGCUUCAUUCUUAAUAUGGUCAUGAAUCUGAUUAAUGUUAGAUAGGUAUGGAGUGUAAAUAGGCACAAAAAAUGAUUAUCGAUAUAGAUAGCCUUCCCAUUUAACACUUGACUUUGUAUUGAAAGACUAAUGAAUUACCUGAUGAUUCAUUUGGAAAUUAAACCUGUAAUAAAGGAAAGUCGUAGAUGUAUCAGAUUUGUGAAGCAGUUUGUUGAAUCAAUAGAGUGGUUGUAUGCGUAACAAGGUUCGAUAGAGUUGAUUGAUUGAUAGAAUGGCUAUUUGUGUAAUAGGCCUAGCUGUUUUAGAACAAGUAAAUGUUUUGAACCCAUAUAAUGGAGACACUUUAUUUGUAAUUUCCUAAUUGCAAUCCCAUGCUUCUAUUUGCAUUAGAUAGUCAUGCGAUACCGGUUGAUUUGUAUCUUUUGAAUAUAAUUAGGAUUGACCCUUUGUAAUUUCGUUUGAGUUUUACCAUUCAUGCUCUGAAUUGAAAGGGAGGCUAGUGAAUAAUCGACCCAAGGCACAAAUGAUGAAAACUUUCCUUUAAUCAAUCUUAGUAAAUACAUGCAGCUGGCUUCUAUGCCUUUUUAGAAGAAUGCUUAACAAUUGUCGAACAUUUCCAAACAAUUUAGAUUCAGUUAAUACUACCAAUUUCCAUUAGUAAAAUUCACACCCUUCUCCCGUGGCAUAGUCAUGAUACCUAAUCCCGAAUUCGAGUUUGCAUUUCACGUGACUCAAUCAUAACUUCAAAUAAUUAUAAAAAUAAGCAUGUUGUAAAUUGCGGGUAUGUUUCACGUGACGCGAUUCACAAUAUGUCCAAAAACAACGAGUGCGCACCAUCGCGACUUGUUUAAAUAAAUUUCAUAAAUACUAAAAGUGGUUAAGUAAAUAAUUAAAAUCGGUUAAAAAUUUAAAAAUGCAUAAAAGGUUUUAAACAUGUAAUAAUUCAGAUAAUUAGGCCAAUUAUUAAUAGUUGAGCGACCAUGCUAAAACCACGGAACUCGAGAAUGCCUCACACCUUCUCCUCGGUUAAUAUAAUUCCUUACCCGGUCUUCUGAUUUUUGCAGAUUUUAAAAUAGAGUCAAAUUUCCUCGAUUUGGGAUUUAAAAUAAACCGGUGACUUGGACACCAUAAAUUAUUUCAAGUGGCGUCUCUGAAUCAAUAAGUAAUCACAUUUCGAAUAAUCUUACUUUAAUUGGAAAAACUCUCUAUCCCCUUCGAAAAAAGGAGGUGUGACAUUCACAAGUUUCUGAUAAGUGGCUCUAGCAUUCUUUAGCCCUAAAGGCAUCACAUUAUAAUAAUAUGUGCCGAAGUUCGUUAUAAAUGAAGUUUUUUCCCGAUCCUCCGGGUUCAUCUUGAUUUGAUUGUACCCAGAGUAAGUAUCGAGGAAACUUAUUAACUCGUGCCCGGCCAUCGCUUAAUUCAUUUGAUCAAUGUUUGGCAAUGGGAACGAGUCUUUGGGGCAUGCCUUAUUUAGAUCCUUAGUAUACGCACAUGCGAAAUUUAUUCUUCUUCUUCUUUGGAACUACCACUACGUUAGCAAAUCAUUCAUGAUACUCUACCUCUCGGAUUGAACCGAUAUCAAGCAAAUGAGUUACCUUUUCUUUGACGAAUUUGUUUCUAACCUCAUCAAUAAUGCAUUUUUCUCCUCACCAAAGGCAUGUUAGGAUCUAGGCUUAGUUUGUGAACGACCACUUUUGGCGGGAUACCUGUCAUAUCCGCAUGCGACCAUGCAAAACAAUCAACGUUAAAUUUAAGAAAUUCAAUAUAUCCUGACCUAAGCUCGGGCUUUAAUCCUAUCCCUAAGUGGAAUUUCCUCUCCAAGAACUUUUCGAACAAUGCGACUUGCUUGAGUUUCUCCGCUGUGGACUUUGUUGCAUCCGUUUCUUCUGGUACCUGGAAAUAUCUUGGUACCUGAUAGGGUUCCGACGGCCUUCCCCCUGGUUGACUACAUUCGGGCUCGGGAGCAGGCAUUCGAUUGCUAUAAUUGCUACGCUGCAUGUUCCUUCCCUUUAUUACUAGAAACUUUGAUCACGUUCAUCUCCCUUGCCGCCGGUUGUUCACCUUUUAUCUUUUUAAUUCCCUCUAGCAUUAGGAAUUUCAGAAGUUGAUGGUAUGUUGACGGUACAACCUUCAUCUCGUGCAACCAUGGUCUCCCAAGAAUGAUGUUGUAACCCAUAUCACCAUUUACCACUUCGAAAAUGGCAGUUUUCAUUACCCCUUCGGUAUUCGUAGGUAGCAGGAUUUCCCCUCGGGUUGUUACACUUGCUAAAUUGAAGCCGACGAGGAGCUUUGUGGCUGGAAUUAUACUCUCGGUUAGUUUGGGUUGUUCUAGCAGUAUCCAUUGGAUAAUGUUGGUUGAACUCCCUGGGUCCACCAAAACACGUUUAAUCUUAAAAUCUAAAACAUUAAGAGAGAUUACUAUGGCAUCGUUAUGAGGAAGUAGGAGUCCAUCUGCGUCCUCCUCCAUGAAGGUGAUGUCGUCCUUAGCGACUUCCUAGAGCCUCUUACUGUGGGUUACUACUACCUUCAUUUUUUUUUGCCGCCGAAAAUGCCACACCAUUAAUCUUGUCCCCCCAUAAAAAUCAUGUUGAUCGUCAAACGCGGAGGGUUAGUCGUGUUAUUCUAGUUGCAGCCGCAAUUGUUCUUAGCUCAGUCACUUAAGAAUUCUCAGAGAUAGUUUUGUUUUUUAAUAAUGUUGCCACUUCCUCGCGCAAAUGCUGGUAGUCCCCAAUCCGGUGGCCGUUGGUCCCAUGAUACCGCACCAUAAAUUAGGAUCCCUCUGACUGGGAUCAGGCCUCAUUGGCCUCGGGAACCGUGCUUCCUUAAUGCUCCUCAUAGCUGACACUAAUUCCAUAAUACUGAUGUUGAAGUUGUAUUCAGACAGCGUGGGGUAGGAGGAGUCUUGGGAACCCUAUAUCUCCUUGCCCUACAAUGAUUUAUUAUUCCGGUCGCAAUCAUCUCUCCUAUCGGUUGCGAAUCUAUACGCUGACUGGAAAUCUCUACCAUGUUCUUCGACCCUCUUGCAAGGCAAAAAUCGACCUCUAGAAGAUCGUCGAUCUGUGUCAAAAUUGUUAACUUAUAUGAGUCCACCAAAUUAUAGAGCAUCUAAUCCUUUAUGAGUUUCCACUAAGAAUGCUUAUGAAGCAGUAAGUAAAGGAGACACGGGAUUUUUACGUGGCAAAAUCCCACUCAAAGGGACAAAAACCACGACCUACACUUGUAGGCUUUCAACUUCACUUACUUGUAAAUACCUAUUAAAGCCACUUUGUAAUAACUCUAUUACAAAGAAUUCACGUCAACUAACUUGUGAUACUUUUACCACAAGCCACUUUGUCACUCUCUAGUAACAAAGACUUUAACUUAUGACUAAGCCUAGUCACAAUAUAAAUUCAGAGAGUUUACAGAUUUUGCAAGAGGGUUUCCUAAAACACAGCUUCUAAGAAAGCAAGAUAGGAGUUACAAUGAAGAACAAAAUAACAAGAUUACAACUCAACUACGGAUACACAUAGACUCAUUGUGAAACUGAUCCUUUAGUGGAGUUGCCUUCUUGUUCUUGACGCACUUAUGACUUUAAUUCAGGAUGAACACUUUUCUGCUCGAGAGAAUAUCACUAAAUGCUCAAAUGAAAAAUGUUGUGCCUUGCACCAAGUUGUUAUACUACAAAACACAUCACAAUGAUGAUGUCAAUUCUUGGUACACGCUUCUUCCCAAUGAGAUGUGACUGCUGCACUGUCGCAUGCACAGUUGCGGACAGUCACUUUCUGCAGUUGCAUUUCAAAUGUAUAGUUGACUUGUACUUCUAUCAGAGAACUCUAAGGGACCAGGUCCCUGUUGUGUUCCUCUUUGUAACAGUUGCGGAUAGUCACUUUCUGCUGUUACCUUCCAGCUGUACAGUUGACUUGUACUUCUGUUAGAGAACCCUAAGGGACCAGGUCCCUAUUGUGUUCUUCCUUGUGGUUGUUCACUCAUUUGCUGGAGAUUAGACUGAACAUUGUUCAUUUUAAAUGUAUACUAGGUUGGUCAGGUUCUCUAUCUGGUUCUUGACAAUAAGUUUGUUAGAUCAUCAAAACGUAAGCAACAUAAGGCAAAGACAUUAAAAACCCAUCAAUUUCCCCUUUUUGAUGAUGACAAACUUAGGCAUUGAUAGUAUUUGUUCAGAGCAGAAAUAACCAGAUAAGGUACCAGAAACUACACAAGUUCCCUCUGACCUUUUGCUUUUGAUUCCCCCUUAUUCAGAUCCCCUAUAUUUGCAUAAAGUUUCUACAAAAGUUCCCCCUGAACUUUUCCCCCUUUUUGGCAUCAUUAAAAAUAUACACAAGCAAGCAAUCAACAUAAAGAAGUCUAACACAGCCAACUCAUGCCACAUAUGUGCACACAACAUGACAGAAAAGAGAAGCCAGAGGAAAACAACAUUGUAUAGGCAAAAAGAGGAGUUGUUUCAUUAAGAUUAACAAUGGACAGAGCAAAAUAGGAGCAGUAAUGGUGAAAUCUAGCAUGCCAUCACAAAAAGAAAACAACAGUCACAAAACAUUAGAGCAAAAGAUAGCUGGCCACUAAGAGGAUCCUAGAGGGCACUAGGAGAGGGAGGCUUGGAAGAGGAGGAAACAAUGAUUUUGAGAACCAGGUCCAGUCGGGCAUUUGCAUACAGUUGUUCUUCAAGCAGUUUUGCACGAAACUUAUCAUUUUCCUUUGUCAGGCGAGCAACUUCUUCAUUAACGGAAUCGGGUCCUUUAACUGCUUGACUGAGCUGAGUUUCCAGUAUGGCAUUUUGAGCCCUCAACCUUCUGAUCUCUUCAGAAGCUACAUUUUGAGCAUUGAUUAGAUGAGAAAUGGUCGAGAUGCUUACACCAACUCUUUAUACACACUCAUAUUCUUCCAGAGUAGUUUUAGAGAAGGUUUGUGUGUGCCCACUUUGGGAUUACCCAAGGGGACAUUGUAAAAUCUGAACACUUGAGUGAGGAGAAACCAUAUGGUAGCCCAUGAUUCCCACCUUUAAAGUUUGUCACCUUUUACAUAUGAUCUAUCAUGAUUGCUGACAGAUUGAUUGGGAUAAACUCAUCAAAGCGCCUCCAUUAAGACCAUAUCUGAUUUUGUAGCAAUAGACCGCCUCUCAAAACGAGGUAAGAGCACCUUAUUGACCAGUUCAAAAAGAAGAUGAUACUCAGGAAGCAAUACCUUCUUAUGCACCUAUUCCCCCUACUGAAUAGCUUGCUAUUUCAUGAUAGCUCUCCUAAAGUUGACACCACAGAUACCUUUGACUGAGGACAUUCCUUCACAUGGAAGUUUGAGAACCUUUCCCAAUGCUAAAGCGUCGAGUACAAUGUCUAUUCUAUUUACUAGUGCACAAAUGUGAUCCCCCUCAACAGUGAAGAGAGAUGCACAGAAAUUUUGGACCGCAUCUUCAUACACCAGAGGCAUGCUCCCCUGAAACAAGUGCUCCCAUUGCUGAAAUUACACUAUCUCCAGAAUUUGUCUCAUACCAGCCAUCUCUGAAAUUGCUGGGUCAAAUGUACGACCCCACAAGACUUUUUAAGUUCUUAAUCUCUCCUGCCAAAGACCACUAUCACUGGUCAUGGUCCUCAGAGAACCAGGUUCCCUUACAGUUUCACUUUUUCAUUUUCUAGAUCCUUCAAUAGACUUUCCUUUCCAACUUACUAGCCCCACAGUAUCAUCUUCAGACAUGGCUUGCUCAAAUGGACUCUUCUUAGACUUGCUGCUGCCCUUCACGGAUGCACCAUUUUAUUUCUCAAUAGCUUUAUCAGAAGCUUCAUCCAUAGACUUUUGAGCUUUUAUAGAUUGUUUCACUAAGGAACCAGUUCCAUUAGAGCAUUUUUGUCAACCCCAUCUACUGGAACGCUCUUGUCAAUAACAAAUUCCCCUUGAUUCAUCAACCUCUUUUUCCUUGUCUUGACACUCCUCCUACUUUUCUAUAAUGUAGACUCGAAGCCCUCUUUCUGCUGCGACCUGAUAGCGGGUGACUUGGAGGAGGAUUCUAAGAGCUUAGGAUGAUUAAGAGGUGCAAGAGUGGGUUUUCCUGGAAGAGAAUCAGGUUCUUCAGCAGGUUUUUUGGGGAACGUCUCAUGAGCCAAGGACUAGAGGAGUACUAUGGUUUUUACAUCACCUAGGAAUGAAGUUUCUUCCCCCUGAUACUCAGACAAGAGAUAUGCUCCUUCAUUCAUCAGACUCUCAGCAGCGAUAGCCAUGAUGUUGUGAGCUGCUUCCUUUUCUGGUGACUCUGUGGGAGUCACUAAGUCCAAAAUGGAGGAGUUCAGAUACUGAUCAGGAUCAUCCUCAGAGAUCUCUGACACUUGUGAGGUAAAACCUCCUGAGUGUUCUUUUAUGAGAUAAGAAGAGUGACAAAACAUAGGGUUUUCAAUACAUGGAAGGAAAACAGGGUUUGUCAGAAAAGGAAAAGCUAUAAGAAAAGAGGAGGAACCAGGUGUGGAUACAGUAGUAUUCGAAGGAGUGGAAUAGUGAAUUUUUGUGGGAUGAUUUUAAGGAUGAUAGGGAAGUGGGAGUGGUGCUAAUGGUGGGAGAAGAAAGCGAUCGUUCGAUUGCCAUUAUAAGAGUAUUUGGUAGGUAAGUAGAUUGAGUGAGAGAAGUGAAGAGAGGAUCACAGAGGUAUAGAAGAGAUAAAGGUUUAUGACUUGCUGUUAGAGAGAAAGAGAGUUUUAUGGGAAGAAGGACUAAUGAUGAGAAGAGAGAGAAACAGGUUCUGAAUAGUCUUAAAAACGGCGGUAGGUUUGUGGGAAAACGUUGUUUGCAGAGGGGAUGAAGGGAUUUGAAAGACAAGACAUGACAUGCAGACUUUGAAAAGUCAGAUGAUGUGGCAGCUGAGUUAAUUUUGUUAACAUUUUUUAGAAGGCAUGCAGAACAAACACAUUACUACUAACCUGUGGUAUAUAAACCUGAUACUCGAUCAAUUUUUUUUGAAAAAGAUUUUAGCAGCUCUUCUUUUGCAGUUCAUAAUUGUACCUUUAGCUUCUAUGAUCGUUAUGCGUGUUUAGCUGCAACGGUAUCGAUGUGAGUUAGGCUUGGCCAGAAAACACUAGCUAUUUUUACCUGAAGGUGUUUUUCAUAGCCAACUGAUGGAGAAUCAGGUUCUCUAUUAGACUUUAAUAACCCCAGCUUCACUUUGUUUCUUCCAAAAUAUUCCCUACUCAAGGCUUUGGUGAAGAUAUCUGGAAUUUGGUUUUCUGCGCUGCAGGACUUUGCACGGAUCAACCCUUUCUCCACAUUGACCCGUAGAAGAUGAUGCUUUACCAUAAUGUGCUUGGUCCUCUUGUUUUGAACUGGAUUCUUGAUCAAGUUGAGUGCACCGGUGUUGUCACAUAGAAGAGGCAUACCAUCAUAAAAUACCCCAAAAUCUUCCAGUUACCGCUUAAUUUAUAGAGGUUGAGCACAACAGGAUGCUGCCACUACAUAUUCUGCUUCAGUUGUUGAUGAAGCCAUUGAGUUUUGCUUCCAUGUGGCCCAAGAGAUGAGACAUGAUCAUGGCAAGUGAACCAUUCCUGAAGUGCUUUUCUUGUCCACAAGAUAACCUACAUAGUUAGCAUCAGCAUACCCAAUAAGGUUAAAACUGUCACCUAAGGGGUAAUACAGGACCAGGUCCCGUGUUCCCUUAAGGUAUCUCAAACUUCUUUUGGCAGCCUUCAAGUGGGAUUCCUUGGGACUUGAUUUUAGAUUCUAUUCUGGAGUGAAAAUAUAGAAGGGACUAAAUUUUUUUUUUUGAAUUUUUGAUUCUUGUCUAAAUCCAGAAUGAAGGGGAGUGAUUAUGUUAUCAAGUGGAUGGGAGCUUUUGUGUUUCCAGUUUAGGACUUAGGUUUGAUUGGUAAAGGAACUGGGCAGGUUAAUUGGAUUUCCCUGCACUCCUUGUUCAGUCACUUGUGGAGUGCCUUGCACUGCAUCUCCACUCUUUCUUCAGCUUCAGUGGUAGUUUAUUGAGGUACCAGGUUCCUUGUGAGAAGUGGAAGUGGAUGUUGCAUUGUCUUCACCAGUCUUCUUCAUCUUACUCAUCAUAUCAGCCUACCCAUUUGAAACCUCAUAUAUUUCUCAAGGACCAUAGGUGGUUCAUUAUCUUGAUCAUCACUGUUUCCUCCUUUGUUAGAGGAGGGUGUCUCGUUGAAUAGCACAUGAAUACUUCCUUCCACACAAUGUGCCCUUUUGUUGUGGACUUUAUGGCUUUUGCUUUGUGGGGAGUAUCCUAGAAGGAUUCCUUCAUCGCAUUUUGCAUCAAAACUUCCCAAGUUGGUCCUUCCUAUUGUUGAGAACAUGGCAUUUUCAUUCAAACGUUCUCAGAUGAGUUGUCUUUAGUUUUCUUCUAUUUGGCAGCUCAUAGGGGGUUUUGUUCAGGAGGGACUUGAUCAUAGACCUGCUCACCAAGUAACAUGCAGUGUUUAUUGCUUCUGCCUAGAAAUUUUUUUGGCAAUUCAACUGUUGAUGAGCAUUGUCCAUGCCAUAUCUUCGAGAGUUCUGUUCUUUCUUUCAACAAUACCAUUUUGUUGUGGAGUCCUUGGUACAAAGAAGUUCUGUGUGAUUCCAUUUUUGUUACAAGCUCAUCAAAUUUGGCAUUGUUAAAUUCUGUCCCGUGGUCAGAUCUGAUGCAUACUACCUUUAAUUUUAUCUUCACUUGGAUCUUCUUGACAAAGGCCAUAAAUACCUCAAAAGUUUCAUCCUUUGUUCUAAGAACCAGUGUCCAGGUGAAUCUUGAAUUUGGCAAACCACGAACUAGGUCCUUCUGAAUUAAUUUAUUCAGAAGUGAGAAGCUUGCAUGCCCCAAUCUUCCAUGCCAAAGUUCUGCGUCAUCAUCAACUGACUUCAAGCAUCUCUUAUCACCAGCUUGCAGAGAUUCAAAGUCAGCAACAUGGAUGUUCUUGUUUCUUUUGGCCACUAAGACCACUUUGCCAGUUACCAGAUUGGUAAUUGUGCACACUUUUGAUAAGAACUCUACUUUAUUCUUUUUAUCACAGAUUUGAGAAACACUUAGGAGACUAUACUUCAGACUUUCCACAUAGUCCACGUUCUGAAUUGAGUGUCAGAGAGACUUUCCAACUUUUACAACACUGAAAAUGUACCCCUUCCUUUUUCAAGGGAUGCAUUCCCUUCCCGCAGGGCUUUCAGUGAGAAGAAAUUCAUGGUGCUUCCAGUCACGUGCUUUGAGCAUCCACUGUCCAUGGUUCAUUAUAGUCCGCUUCCUCUCACUGUUCCCUGCACAUGCAAUUUAUGGGUUAGAUUUAGUAACCCAAACUAGUUUGGGUCCCUUGUUAUUAUAAAAGGGAUGAAUAAGGGCUUUUCUAGUCCAUGCAGGCAAUAUUCGUUUCUUGCGAGCGGUACCUGGUCCAUUGUUAGUAGUCACUUUGUCAGUAAACACUUUUUUUUUGAACAGAUUGAACCCUGGCCUGGCAAUUUUUUUGAAGUGCCCAUUGUUCCCACAAUGGGUACACAGCCAAUUAUCAGGAACAACGAUGUACUUGUUGUGAGGGUUGUAAGGAGUUUUCUCCCAUUGGAACCCGAUUCCUUGCCUGUUUCCACUAUUGUUGAAAUACAUGGUAGUGAUAGCAUCUGAGGACCAGGUCCACUUCAGAGAUUUCUCAAGAUCAAUUUUUAUUUUCUCCAACUUAGCUUGAAGUUGCUAAUUUUUCUCAAGUUCACCACAUAGACUAGUUUUCACAUCAUUUAAUUCCUUUUCAAGCUUGAUGUGUGUCUCACUAGCUACUUCAUUCCCUUUCCCAAGACUCACAGUCCUAUGUUCUCUAUUGAGUCCCUCAAUGGUUUCCUCUAGGUCAGUGAUUAUCACUAAAAAAAUCAUCCCUUUCUUGCUCAAUAGCUGCAAUUGUUUCUUCAAGAGUGUGUUUCUCAUUGCUAAGACCUUCUACCAUCAUGUCAUCUCUCUCAUUUUCUACACUAGUUAUUUUUUCAUUCAGAACUUCCUUUUCUUUUUCAAGAUUAGCUAUGGUCUCAUUUAGGUCCACUACACAAACCACCAGAUCAUUUCUAGAUUGUUCAGCUUCUCCUAGUUCUAUGGUCAGGAUCUCCUUAUCAUUAUCAAGGCUAUAAUAAGCAUCAAUUAGAACAUUUGCUAAUGACCUUAACUUCUUAAAAGAGUAGGAUUUCAGAUUUCUCUGAACAUCCCUGAAAUUUACCUCAUCAUCUUCAUCUUCUUCAUCAUCAUCAGACUGAGCCAUUACCGCGAACAGUGAGUCAUACUUCAUUGUUUCAGUUUCCACUGCCAUCAUGGAGCUGUUUUCUGCAUCUGGUUCCCUUUCUGAUUCACUGGGGGAGUCUCCCCAAGCAGCAAGAGCCUGCUUCACAAUAUUGUCAGCUGCACUUUUUCGAUUGAAUCGUUUGCCUGGAACCAGGUUCCUUUUUGCUGCUUUGUCAGAGUUUUGCUUGUAUUGCUCAUGUUUCACGAGUGGACAGUUUUUGAUGAAAUGCCCUGGAUUUCCGCACCUGUGAUAGAGAUCAUUGUUCCUUGCCUUACUUGAACUGCCCCUCUUUGGUAUACCACCAUUUCUUCGAACCAUCUUUUGAAAUCUUUUAGUAAGAUAGGGCAUAUCACUAUCUUCUUCACUUGAGUCACUGCUUUCAGCCUUCAGUACCAUGUUCUUUUCCUUCUUUGGCUCUCUCCUUUCACCGUCCUUUUUUUUUCAUCUCGUAUGUCUUCAGAUUACCAAUCAGCUCAUCCAUGGUUAGAGUUUGUAGAUCUUUAGCUUCAGUGAUGGCAUUUACCUUGCUUUCCCAAGAACCAGGUAUAACAUUGACGAUUUUCCUUACAAGCUUGUUUCUGGGAAUAACAUCUCCAAAUGAAUGAAGCUCAUUUAUGAUGGAUGUGAAUCUGGUGUGCAUAUCCUGUAUAGACUUAUCAUCCUUCAUCCUGAAGAGCUCAUACUCUAUGGUGAGCAUGUCAAUCUUGGACUGUUUAACUUGAGUAGUUCCUUCAUGUGCGGUUUGCAACGCUUCCCAUAUUUCUUUGGCAGUAUCAUAGGCUGAGACUCUGUUGUACUCAUCGGGUCCUAUACCACAUACCAAGAUUUUCUUGGUGCGAUAGUUCUUUUCUACGACUUUUCUACCAAUAUCAAUGUACUCCUUUCUGUCUUUCGGUACCAUUGGUCCAGUUUCUUCAAGCUUCUUCAUAGGAACAUGUGGACCAUCACAGAUGAUGUCCCACAACUCUGAAUCUUCGGCCAUUAUAAAAUCAUGCAUGCGAGUUCCACCAGCUGUAGUAUUGACCAUUGAAUCUAGGAGGUCUGUAGGUUGAUUGUCCUUCCUCAAAGUUGGGUGGAGUAGCCAUUGAGAUCCUUUCUAGGUGUUAACCUUUUAGAAAGAACCUGCUCUGAUACCAAUUAUUAACUUAUAUGAGUCUACUAAACUAUAGAGCACCUGAUCCUCUAUGAGUUUCUGUUGAGAAUACUUAUAAAGCAGUAAGUAAAGGAGACACGAGAUUUUUACGUGAAAAAAUCCCACUCAAGGGGACAAAAACCACGACCUACACUUGUAGGCUUUCAACUUCACUAACUUGUAAACACCUAUUACAAGCCACUUUGUAAUAACUUUAUUACAAAGAAUUCAGUCAACUAACUUGUGAUACUCUUACCACAAGCCACUUUGUCACUCUCUAGUAACAAAGACUUUAACUUAUGACUAAGCCUAGUCACAACAUAAACUCAAAGAGUUUACAGAUUUUGUAAGAGGGUUUCCUAAAACACAGCUUCUAAGAAAGCAAGAUAGGAGUUACAAUGAAGAACAAAAUAACAAAAUUACAACUCAACUAUGGAUACACAUAGACUCAUUGUGAAACUGAUCCUUUAGUGGAGUUGUCUUCUUGUUCUUGACGCACUUGUGACUUCAAUACAGGAAGAACACUUUUCUGCUUGAGAGAAUAUCACUAAAUGCUCAAGUGAAAAAUGUUGUGCCUUGAACCAGGUUGUUAUACUACAAAAGACAUCACAAUGGUGAUGUCAAUUCUUGGUACAUGCUUUUUCCCAAUGAGAAGUAAUUGCUGCACUGUCUGCUACACUAUCGCAUGUACAGUUGCGGACAAUCACUUUCUGCAAUUGCGUUCCAGCUGUAUAGUUAACUUGUACUUCUGUCAAAGAACUCUAAGGGACCAGGCCCUUGUUGUGUUUCUCUUUGUAACAGUUGCAAACAGUCACUUUUUGUUGUUACGUUCCAGCUGUACAGUUGACUUGUACUUCUGUCAGAAAACCCUAAAGGACCAGGUCCCUGUUGUGUUCUUCCUUGUGGUUGUUCACUAAUUUGCUAGAGAUCAGACUGAACAUUGUUCAUUUGAAAUGUAUACCAGGUGGGUCAGGUUUUUUAUCUGGUUUUUGACAAUACGUUUGUUAGAUUAUCAAAACAUAAGAAGCAUAAGGCAAAGAUAUUGAAAACCCAUCAGAAAUCAUCCUUCAAUUUCUUCUUAUUCUUCUCCGAUCCCGACCCUUGGUUGAUUCCGAAAAAUCGAGCCGGUCAUCCUCAAUUCUUAUCUUCGACUCGUACCGAUUGUGAACAUCCACCCACGUUGUUGCUUGGAACUCAAGUAGACUUUUUUUCAAUUUUCGGGAAGCAUCGAAACUUCUCGAAUUCAACCCUUUAGUAAAUGCUUCAGCUGCCCAUUCGUCUGGUAUGGCCGGUAGCAACAAACUUUCUUUCUGGAAUCUGGUCACGAACUCCCAUAGCAAUUCGGGCUCUCCUUGUGCAAUCUUGAAUAUGUCGGCCUUUCGAGCUUGUAACUUCUUGGACCCGACAUUCCUUGAUAAAAGAAUUCGCAAGCAUCUCGAAAGAAUUUAUUGAGUGCUGGGGUAAAAGCGAAUACCAUGUCAGGGCCUUUUUCGUGAGGGUCUCCCCGAAUUUCUUCAGUAAGACCGACUCAAUCUCGUGCGGAGCUAAGUCUUUCCUCUUCACUGCCAUUGAAUAUGUGGUGAUGUGCUCCUGAGGAUCUAAAGUCCCAUCAUGUUUUGGCAUGUCUGGCAUCUUGAACCGCUUCAGGAUCAACUCUGGUGCCGCGCUUGGUUUGAACGGCAAUUGGGUAUGGUUCUUUGAAUUCGGUCCUUUCAAUACUGGCGGUGCACCCGAAAUUUGAAACAUUCGGGAGUUUAUUUCUCUCAUAAAUCGCAUGAGUUCGGUUUUAAAGAGAUCACUUUCAUUGUUACUACCGGAUCCGCUACCGUUCCCCCCGGCUCCGUUGAAGGCGACUUCGCCCCUCGGGGUGUUAUUGUCAACCCUCUGCGUUGUUUGAUUUGCGGGGGCACCGGGAGGAACUGGACCUCGUCCAUUCGCGUUGUUGGAAGCACCGGACAACGCCCGUCCUAACUCCGUCAUGACCUGAUCCUUUCGUGAAAGGUGGCAAAUAAUGGCCUUUUGUUGCUCCCUCAGGAUUCUUACUAUUUUAGCGACAUUCUCGUCUUUAGCAUUAUUAGGAGUUGCCUCUCGAACAUGUCGUGGAUAUUGCCUGCCAUGGACCGGCGUGGCCUUAUCCCCCUUAUUGCGGGAAUCACUGAUCGAGUCUUCAUGCUGAGGCUGAUUUUCUUGAGCCUCAAUAUUGUGUGCGAUGUUGACAUCAAUAUCUUCCGCUUUUAUGAUUUUUUGCUAAGAACAACGAAUCAAAUAGGGUAGUAAUAGAUGCAAGGAUCAACUCAAUUACACAACUGUCUAAGCCCAUGGUUGCGCCAAACUAUUUACUCGUAAAACGGUAUAGUUGAAUUUAUACGUGGUUUAUAGACAAGCGAAUUGAUUUGAUCCCAAAAAUUAAAUAAAUUAAAUAAGAAUGUAAGACAUAGCGUUGAAAUCGAAAUAAGAUAGCAAAGAUCUUGGUUCUGGGAGCGAAGCUUCCGGAGGCAGUAAUAACGAUAUUUAUAAGCAAGGAGAUCAAAUAUUAUUAAGCUUUGACUAGUAUAUGAUAUAAGAUUGUCAGAAAAUUUCCUUCCAACAAUAGUUGUUGGAAUCCUUAUUUAUAGUGGCACCUAGGGAACAAGUCCUAAGAUCAAGCCUCUCUUAAAUAAUAAUUAUGGGGGCCAUUGAAUAAUGUGUAACGGCUGUCUAUGAAUGCCAUAUUCUCUAUUACGGUCUAUGUAUUUAAUACUGUAGAAUAUUCUUCAUUGAAUGUUAUCGAGUGACAGGUAUUCAUUUGUCUUCAUGAGUAACAUUCCCUUCAGAGGUUUCUUGGUGCCAGCCAAGACUGAUCAGUCUUAACUUCUACAUGUCUCGCUUUCUAUCUGUUUCUCAUUUCGUAUAUCAUUUUAUUAUACGAUCAUUUAAUAUGAACCGAUUUUACCCAAUACAACUAGUACUAGUACAUGUAUUGGAAUCUUUUUUAAGAUCAAUUAGACGAUACGGAUUUAUGUGGAUUUCUUGCUCUUGAAUCUUGGAAGAAGCAUGUGAAUAUCUGAUGAAGUGAUGAUCAUCUAAUCUCUUUAUCCACUCCCGCCUAGAUUAGAAGGCUUUUGCUUUGAUGACGGCGACAUUUAUCAACCAAUAUAUACCCUAGGAAGCUGGAUAAAGUUGGUAAACAAAAGAGUAAUUAAGCUGAUCAACAGAGGGUAAUAAAUGCUGCAACAUAACUACUGGUAGCUAGCUAAUUACUACGUAACAACAUCAAUAGACGACGCCAAAAUUCACGAGUCACGAUUAGGGUUGUUCAUGGUUCGGUUUGGAUCGGUUUUUUUCCUAAAAAGAAACCAAAUCAAAUAAGUCAUUUUUUCAAAUAUUAGAAUUAAACCAAAUCAUUUAAGUCGGUUUUUCUCGAUUCGGUUUAUGUCGGUUUUUCGGUUAUUUGUCGGUUUUUUCUUAAAUAUAAGACAUACACUACCAAACACAUAUUCCGGCGACCACAUUUUCAAUAUAACACUAUCAAAUCAAUUGCCCUUUGAGAAAUCUAUUAUUUACCAAAAUAUAUUGAUGAUAAUUGAAACAUAGUGAUGAAUAAUUUAAGGACUCAAUUAAAAAUAUGUUAUUUUUAACACGAAAUGGAUUCUUACAUUAAACAAAAGAAAACUACCAAUCAAACUAGAAUGUAAAUGUAAAGAAAUAUAUUAAAAGUGCAAACUAUUAACAUUUACCAUAAAUUUUUUGAAACUUUGUAUAACAAUAUACAUAUAUAUAGGUGUAGUAAUAAAUUUGAAAUAGCUACUCCUAUAGUCAGUUUUGUUCGAUUUUUUUCUGAUUAAAACCAAAAUCAAACCAAAUUUGAUCGGUUUUUAAAAUUCAAAACUAAAACCAAACCAAACCAAAAAUUAUCGAUUUUUUUGAUCGCUUUAAUUUGAUUUUCGGUUUGGUUCGAUUUUUCGGGUUUUUAUGAACACCCCUAGUCACGACAAUCAUAUAUCGGUAUGCCCAAUGUCAUUUCAAGCACCCUGACGGUACGUAGAUGAAGAAUUACAAGAAUAAAAGGUUAAUUUUAGCUAUGCUCAUUCAAUUUUUUUUUUAAUUGUACUAAAUAGAUAAAGGGACCGUUUUAAUGGAAAAAUAAUUAAAUUAUAUCUUAAAUAUAUUAUAAAAAUAAAAUAAUGAUCAAAAUGUUAAAUUCGGUCCCCGGAAAACAAUAGGCUUUUACACGUAUAAAAUUUCCAUGCAAGUACUGUUUUCUAGCAACUCAUUACCUUUACUAAAUAUAUCCAUAUGUCACCUCACAAAAAAAAAAAAAAAUCAUUUUCCAACCCGAUUUAACACUCGAAUACUCGAUAAUCCUUUAUUAUGUGGCAUAUUAUUAGUUUUUAAUUUUUUUAGGUGAGUCAAAUAGUAGUUUUUAUUUCAAGAUUGAAUCUAGUAUUUCUGACAUUUUAUUUUUGUGAUAUAAAUUCAUAGAAACAUAUUUUCCAUUACAAAAAAUAAUUUUAUAACUUUGACGGAAUAACUUGAAAGCUGAAUCAACAUCUGUGAAAUUAACCAAAGAAUAAAAGCACAGAAUAAUGCAUGAAUGAUCACUGGGACAAGCUAGAGUCUAUAGGGGGUAAUGUGGCACGGAUAUAGCCACGGGACACAUUUUAAAUCUGUUGCCAUAUAUUAAUAGCUAUGAAACAGUAGAGCCUAGAGGCUAGAAAGAGAAUGAUUCCAAUUUGCUUUCUUGAUUGGGCAAAUAAGAAAUAAAGAAGGUCAAUUUUGGUGUGAAAAGAAAAAAAAGAAGGUGCACAAAAAGAACAACUCAUGUAGAAGAAUGAAGCAAAUAUUUUAUAUAUAUUGUAAAGCCCCGGGAAAUUUUGCUAAGUAAUAUAAGAUUUUGUGGUGUCAAGAUAGGCUAAUUAUUUUAUCUUGUGUGCAAGUGAGGGUUCAUGAUAUAAUGGAUAUCAAUUAGAUAAGUUAAUAAGUGUAUAAGUCAUAUUAUAAGUAGUUUAGGGUCUAAGGAGAGGCCUAAGUCUAAGCCAAGUUGGAAAAAUUUCAUAAUAGGCUAAAGUUGUAAGUGAAUGCGCACAAGACCUCACUUUGGACAAGCAUAUCUCUAGUUAUAUAAAGUGUUGAGUGAUGCACAACCUAUCAAAUUAAAACCCUUUGAGUCUAGUUCCCAACUCAACAAACCGUUCGUCAUUUGGAGGUGUAUACAGAAAGUUAUGACCAUUUUACUGGACAUGCGUUACCAGCGUGCCCAGGAGCGCAGCCGCGGCAAACCGCGGCAAACCAAGGUUUUUCUGCCUGUAAACUGCGGCAGACCGCGGCGGAACGCGGUGGAACAUGUAAAAUGUCUAAAAUACCCCUGGCCAGUGUAAAACCGAAGGGGUAUUACAUUUUCUUCAUUUUUUGAUCAUUCAAGCUCGAAUUUUGGGGUUUUCUUCACCCUCUCAAGACCUCCAACCUCCCAUCUUCAAGGUAAGCAAUCUUCAUUAACUUGGUGUAAAAUUCCAUUAUUCUUACACUAGUAUUGAUGAAAUCUACGCAUAAAACACAUAGAUCUUCAAGAAACUUCUUCAAGAACUCCAAGGAGGGUUUUGCAAGAUUUCUUCCAAAAGGUAAUCCUACCCCCCUUAGACUUACAUGUAUGAAUUUAUUAUGGGUAUAUGAGUGUGGAUUAAGUAUUGGGACUCUUGGUGUGGUGAUUAGAAGCCACAAGUUCCUAAUAUAAAUACAUAGUCAUUGUAGAGAUUGGAAGGUGAUUAUUUGAUGGAAUUUUGUUGGUUGGGUGAAGAUGGGUUGUCACACAUAUGUUGUUGGAAGUUAUAAAUUGGUUAGGAAUAAUGGUGGAGUGAAUUAUUGGUUAAUGGUGAUAGUUGGGUGAACCAAUACUAUAGUUUUGGGGUGUAAAGUUCUAUAACUACAAUGUGUUUGAUGAUAUGCCUAAAAGGCAUAAGUUACGAAAUUUAUUACUAAUAUUGGCCCUAUUGAAUGUUGUAUUGUAGAUUGAGGUUGCUUAAGUGUAUUGGAUCAUUGUAGUAUCACUAAGGGCGAAUUUGAGGUAUGUAUGACUAACUUUAGCCUUUAUAAAGUCACCUUGUUUGGUGUACGAGUAAUUGGUAUGUGUUAUUUAUGUGGACCAUUUGUAAAUUCUUGUGAUUAAUAUGUCUUGAACGUAUGUAUGGCUAGCUUUAACCUUUGUAAAGUCACCUUGUUUGAUGUACGAGUAAUUGGUAUGUGUUAUUUAUGUGGACCAUUUGUGAAUUCUUGUGAUUAAUAUGCCUUGAACGUUGUUGGCUAACUUUAACCUUUGUAAAGUCACCUUGUUUGGUGUACGAGUAAUUGGUAUGUGUUAUUUAUGUGGACCAUUUGUGAAUUCUUGUGAUUAAUAUGCCUUGAAUAUUGUUGGCUAAGUUUCCUGAUAUAAUGGUGUAAGUAAAUGGCAACAAGCCAAGUGUGUGUGUGUGUGAAGGUGCUUAUAUGGUAAGAGCUGUGUAACAAAUGAUGGAAAGAAAUCGUAAUUGAUGCAAUUGAAACAACUGUGGUAAUAUCAUACGUGACUUGUCGCGGCAAUUAUCGUUGUGACUUAAAUUGUAUACGGACUGUUGCAUAUAAUGGAAAUGGUAUUGAUGUCUAUGAAACCUCUUUGUGAAUUGUUGUGUUGUCGUGUGAAAUGUAAUUGUCCGGUGGGAUUGGGUUGCGCGCUGCAACACGAAGUUAUAAGGUGUGGGUUGUGGUGAUAAGGGUGGCCGAGGUAAUAAGGGUGAAAAAGUUAUCGAAAUCACUAUUGAAAUGAAAAUAUGUGAAAGUUGUGAAACCAUUGAUGUGAUAAAAUAAUGUUGAAAGGGGAAAAUGAGAGAUUGUGGAACUUGUUUGGCUUUGGUUGUUCCUUUCAUGUGCAUUGUGUUGUUGAUUCUAUUACUGUUUGUUACCUGUGUAUUUCUUGAUUUUACUUGGGUAAAGUUUGUUCAUACAUGCCAGUACAAUUGAAAUGUACUGACGUCCCUUUUGUCGGGGGCGCUACAUUCGUGUUAUGAUUGUAGGUGGUUCUAUAGCAGGUACUCCAGUCCACCGACAGUAGCACUCCUUCACUUCC